Triticum urartu is the source of this 591-nucleotide non-coding RNA. Lineage: Eukaryota; Viridiplantae; Streptophyta; Magnoliopsida; Poales; Poaceae. The record is from RefSeq and is a predicted model, not a curated record.
GGCGUUCAUGCUCGUCGGCGGGACGGUGCAAGGCGCAACUCCGACGCGGUCGCGUGGUGGAUGUGCGGUGUAGGAAGCGGUUCCUUGCCGGUUGGACGGCGUUCACGCGCAACCCCGGCGUGCAGUGAGUACUGCCUCGGCUACAACCUCCCUCGGUUAUAUCUGAUAUCAUUGAGAGGAGUAGGCCAACAUCCCUACCUCCCUCUUCAACUCCCACCCAACACAAUUGUGGUUGGUCCGCUGUCUACAGGUGCUCGUUAUUCUGGCCAGUUUGUCGUGCUCUGUCUUCGACCACCUCUUUGCAGGUUGUCCCCUUCUCCCCCUCUCUUCUAUGCUUUCCAGGCCUAGGCUUACAUUUCUUCCUGUAUGAAGCUGCUGUUAGAUUGUGUUUGGACAAUGGAUGUAUGUGCUUUUUGUCCUCUUAUUCGUAGAAGCCUAGCACCUAAAUUAUUGUUCCCUGCUUGUAUUUUUGUGCUUGCUUGGCAUUCGGAAAUGGGGAUUUUUGUCACUUCUCUAGAUCCUGGUAGGACCUAUGCUUUCUUGUACCUUUCUGCUGUGUCCUAGAAGUAGCCUAAUGAUUUGUUUGUUGGA